Long non-coding RNA from Tripterygium wilfordii, 784 nucleotides. RefSeq lists it as uncharacterized. The transcript has 2 exons. NCBI's taxonomy places the organism in Eukaryota, Viridiplantae, Streptophyta, Magnoliopsida, Celastrales, Celastraceae. The record is from RefSeq and is a predicted model, not a curated record.
GGGAAAAACGGUGUAGUUUUGAGCCAGACUGAAUCGACUGAUUGUUAGGGAACCGCCGAAGAAGAAGAUGAUGAGAGAGGAGAACAAUGUGUAUCGGCGUCCAAUCCAAUUCGACGCUCCUCCAGCAGCCAGCGAUGAUAUUGGAUAGCUGCAGGUUGCAAUUAUCAAGUAAAUUUCUGAAUUCCAUGCCGUAAUUUCGUGGUUUGCUGCUAUGCCGUAAUUUUCAGGAGAUGGAGAAAAGUUUGAACUCCUUACAAUGGAAGAGUCUCUCAACGGUUUGUGAACAGAGUGGCCAACUUGGACCUGAAGGGGGAUAAGAGGAGAUCCAACAAGGUAAAGGAGGAAGCGAAGCUCAUUAAGGCGUCUGGCGAUAACUGGCUGCGACCAUUUAUCGGAAGUUUGAGCCUUCAUCCAUGUGAGCAUGUUUUGCCAACGUAGUUGAACAUUGCUGCCCAUGCUAGUGAGCAUUUCGUCUGGUAUUGGGACCUCCAGGACGGUCUCAAGGCCAUCUUCUCUGUCAAUGUUUGGACAAAGUUUCCUCAUGUAUCAUAUUACAGGGAAAGAAAAAGGGAGAGAGCAGAGGGAGCAAGUAGAAAUUAUCCAAGGAAUCAACAAGUAAAAAAAGAUAGAAAGGAGAGAGGAUUAGGUCUUUAUUUCCUAACCAUGUAACUGUAACUGUACCUGUGCAAGAAAAUUGGAGAUUUAGUUUGAGGGUCUCCUUGUUUGUAGGUGUAUUUGUGGUUACAAUUUAAAUUGAUUAUGAAUGACUUUCUAUUUUGGGUUA